GCUACUAUGGCCGAGUGGUCCAAGGCGGUGGACUUAAGUUUUCUAUUGACUUGAAACCCAUUGGGGAAACCCGCGCAGGUUCGAACCCUGCUGGUAGCA
Tricharina praecox is the source of this 99-nucleotide non-coding RNA. The record is from the annotation of a RefSeq genome assembly. Lineage: Eukaryota; Fungi; Ascomycota; Pezizomycetes; Pezizales; Pyronemataceae.